RNAcentral lists this long non-coding RNA (515 nucleotides) under Mus caroli (Ryukyu mouse). RNAcentral describes it as "lncRNA (MGP_CAROLIEiJ_G0006798.1)". The record is from RNAcentral. Lineage: Eukaryota; Metazoa; Chordata; Mammalia; Rodentia; Muridae.
CCACUCUGUGAGAAUCAGAAUCCCAGCUCUGCUGAUCUGCCUUGGUUCUGUGACUUCACAGAGCUUCUCUAAGCAGUCUGGACUCAGAUUUCUCAUCUGUGAAUGGAAGAAAUCCACCACUGUAUCCUGAAAAUAUUGAACUCAUGAGAAAAAUAGGUAUUGGGACAACAUCAACUUACUGAUGAGAGGCAUAAAGAAGGCCCCUUCUAAUUCAGCUUGGAAAUCCAACUCCAAGACUCCAUCAGAUUGUUUGUUUUCUAAUUGCACUUUCAUCAUACACAUGCCCUUCUUAAUAUGUCCCACAGUAAAGCAAAUAUGGGGACUGCAUUGAUUCCUUUGUAAAGGCUCCUCUUCCAAUCAUGAAGGAUGUUCUCUUAUAUUCUAAACACCUCUGAAAUGCCUUAGAUUCUAAUUUACUGUGGGAAUGUGAUAUUUAAAGUUAACUGUCAAUGUCUAAAAUUUGUAAAUAACACUAAGUUAUUUCAUAAUAAAAUCCAAAAGAAUUAUAGAAACCC